Molecule: unclassified non-coding RNA, 433 nt
Filed under: soil metagenome
Description: partial contains 5.8S ribosomal RNA, internal transcribed spacer 2, and large subunit ribosomal RNA
Rfam family: 5.8S ribosomal RNA (bases 1-120)
Source: RNAcentral
GAUGAAGAACGUAGCGAAAUGCGAUACGUAAUGUGAAUUGCAGAAUUCAGUGAAUCAUCGAAUCUUUGAACGCAUAUUGCGCUCUCUGGUAUUCCGGAGAGCAUGCUUGUUUGAGUAUCAGUAAACACCUCAACUUCCAUAUCUUUUUUGAAAUGGGAGUUGGACUUGAGUGAUCCCAACGCUUUUCCUCACCGAAAAGUGGCGGGUUACUUGAAAUGCAGGUGCAGCUGGACUUUUCUCUGAGCUAUAAGCAUAUCUAUUUAGUCUGCCUAAAAAACAGAUUAUUACCUUUGCUGCAGCUAACAUAAAGGAGAUUAGUUCUUGUGCUGACUGAUGCAGGAUACACAAAGACAGGCUUCGGCCGACUUUGUAAACUCGAUCUCAAAUCAAGUAAGACUACCCGCUGAACUUAAGCAUAUCAAUAAGCGGAGGA